Molecule: non-coding RNA, 147 nt
Organism: Brachypodium distachyon (stiff brome)
Lineage: Eukaryota; Viridiplantae; Streptophyta; Magnoliopsida; Poales; Poaceae
Source: RefSeq, marked provisional
CGGAUGGCGCCACCGGGCUGACCUGGAAGGCGCUGGCCGUCGACAUUGCCGGGGGCCGGUUGUGGCUGGCGCUGUGGGCACUAUGAUCCCAUGGCUGAGUUGACAGAAGAGAGAGAGCACAGCUGGAGUCGGCGGCCGUGACUCCUG